RNAcentral lists this ribosomal RNA (519 nucleotides) under uncultured bacterium. Its description in RNAcentral is "bacterial SSU rRNA". It matches the Rfam family "Bacterial small subunit ribosomal RNA", at positions 992 to 1509 of the family's 1533-position model. The record is from RNAcentral.
AGAACUUAGCAGAGAUGCUUUGGUGCCUUUCGGGGAACUCUGAGACAGGUGCUGCAUGGCUGUCGUCAGCUCGUGUUGUGAAAUGUUGGGUUAAGUCCCGCAACGAGCGCAACCCUUAUCCUUUGUUGCCAGCGGUUAGGCCGGGAACUCAAAGGAGACUGCCAGUGAUAAACUGGAGGAAGGUGGGGAUGACGUCAAGUCAUCAUGGCCCUUACGAGUAGGGCUACACACGUGCUACAAUGGCGCAUACAAAGAGAAGCGACCUCGCGAGAGCAAGCGGACCUCAUAAAGUGCGUCGUAGUCCGGAUUGGAGUCUGCAACUCGACUCCAUGAAGUCGGAAUCGCUAGUAAUCGUGGAUCAGAAUGCCACGGUGAAUACGUUCCCGGGCCUUGUACACACCGCCCGUCACACCAUGGGAGUGGGUUGCAAAAGAAGUAGGUAGCUUAACCUUCGGGAGGGCGCUUACCACUUUGUGAUUCAUGACUGGGGUGAAGUCGUAACAAGGUAAGCGUAGUGCU